CCACGCUUGCGUAGGCGGGUACUAAGCAGUUGGGUUGUCAUUACCCGAGCCCACGCGUAGGCGUGGAAGCGAGGGUAAAGCAGUCGUCCUGUCAGUGUGUGUGUCCAAGCCAAAUCUGUUUUCAAGCCUCUGCUGCUUUCUAUUUGAGUUCUUAAGAGUCUUAUAAUCAACACUAGAGCUAGGAAAAGAGCAAAAGCUAACAAAGUUGUUAAACUUAGGUCGGCACUCGCACAACUCUCUCAUCGUGAAAGGAAUCAUAGCAAAAAACUAAUGAAGCAUUAGAACAAAACUUUAUCUUUUAUUAUAAUGUAAGAAAUUGCUCCAAUCAUCUUUGUUUUCAAGAUA
Molecule: long non-coding RNA, 345 nt
Filed under: Amphimedon queenslandica
Lineage: Eukaryota; Metazoa; Porifera; Demospongiae; Haplosclerida; Niphatidae
Description: uncharacterized LOC109590136
Source: RNAcentral